CUUCAUGGCGCCGAUCAGCACGGGCCGGUCGGCGGGGCGCUGCUGACCAUACGUGGCCAGCAGCGCGUGCGCCUC
This 75-nucleotide antisense RNA is filed under the name Streptomyces sp. NRRL F-5755. RNAcentral's name for it is "ASpks sRNA". It matches the Rfam family "ASpks TB sRNA". The record is from RNAcentral. Lineage: Bacteria; Bacillati; Actinomycetota; Actinomycetes; Kitasatosporales; Streptomycetaceae.